RNAcentral lists this ribosomal RNA (563 nucleotides) under uncultured Microgenomates group bacterium. RNAcentral describes it as "bacterial SSU rRNA". It matches the Rfam family "Bacterial small subunit ribosomal RNA", at positions 862 to 1438 of the family's 1533-position model. The record is from RNAcentral.
AAGUAUCCCGCCUGGGGAGUACGGCCGCAAGGCUAAAACUCAAAGGAAUUGACGGGGACCCGCACAAGCGGUGGAGCAUGUGGUUUAAUUCGACGAUAAGCGAGGAACCUUACCAAGGCUUGACAUCUAGCUGCAAGCCCCUAGAAACAGGGGCCGCCUUCGAGGGUGCUAGACAGGUGCUGCAUGGUUGUCGUCAGCUCGUGUCGUGAGAUGUACGGUUAAGUCCGGCAACGAGCGCAACCCCUGCCCUAAUUUGUACUUUAUUAGGGUACUGCCGUGUUUAACACGGAGGAAGGUGGGGACGACGUCAAAUCAGCAUGGCCCUCACGCCUUGGGCGACACACAUACUACGAUGGCUAGUACAAAGGGUUGUUAAACCGAGAGGUGGAGCUAAUCCCAUCAAAGCUAGUCUCAGUUCGGAUUGAGGUCUGCAACUCGACCUCAUGAAGUUGGAAUCGCUAGUAACUGUGAAUCAGCCACGUCACAGUGAAUACGUUCUCGGGUCUUGUACACACCGCCCGUCACGUCAAGAGAGUCGGUAAUACCCGAAUGCCGUUGUAGUA